RNAcentral lists this ribosomal RNA (253 nucleotides) under uncultured bacterium. RNAcentral describes it as "partial 16S ribosomal RNA". It matches the Rfam family "Bacterial small subunit ribosomal RNA", at positions 524 to 776 of the family's 1533-position model. The record is from RNAcentral.
UACGGGGGGGGCAAGCGUUGUUCGGAAUUACUGGGCGUAAAGGGCUCGUAGGCGGCCAACUAAGUCGGAUGUGAAAUCCCCAGGCUUAACCUGGGAACUGCAUCCGAUACUGGAUGGCUUGAAUCCGGGAGAGGGAUGCGGAAUUCCAGGUGUAGCGGUGAAAUGCGUAGAUAUCGAGAGGAACACCUGCGGCGAAGGCGGGUUGCUGGGCUGACACUGACGCUGAGGCGCGAAAGCUAGGGGAGCGAACGGG